This 790-nucleotide ribosomal RNA is filed under the name uncultured Prochlorococcus sp. RNAcentral describes it as "bacterial SSU rRNA". It matches the Rfam family "Bacterial small subunit ribosomal RNA", at positions 58 to 894 of the family's 1533-position model. The record is from RNAcentral. Lineage: Bacteria; Bacillati; Cyanobacteriota; Cyanophyceae; Synechococcales; Prochlorococcaceae.
CAAGUCGAACGAACCUUCGGGUUAGUGGCGGACGGGUGAGUAACGCGUGACAUUCUGCCCUCAGGAGGGGGAUAACGGUUGGAAACGACCGCUAAUACCCCAUAUGCCUACUGGUGAAAUGAAUUUCGCCUGAGGAUGAGCUCGCGUCUGAUUAGCUAGUUGGUGCGGUAAUGGCGCACCAAGGCUUCGAUCAGUAGCUGGUCUGAGAGGAUGAUCAGCCACACUGGGACUGAGACACGGCCCAGACUCCUACGGGAGGCAGCAGUGGGGAAUUUUCCGCAAUGGGCGAAAGCCUGACGGAGCAACGCCGCGUGAGGGACGAAGGCCUCUGGGCUGUAAACCUCUUUUCUCAAGGAAGAAGAUAUGACGGUACUUGAGGAAUAAGCCACGGCUAAUUCCGUGCCAGCAGCCGCGGUAAUACGGGAGUGGCAAGCGUUAUCCGGAAUUAUUGGGCGUAAAGCGUCCGCAGGCGGCUUUUCAAGUCUGCUGUUAAAGCGUGGAGCUUAACUCCAUCAUGGCAGUGGAAACUGAAAGGCUUGAGUAUGGUAGGGGCAGAGGGAAUUCCCGGUGUAGCGGUGAAAUGCGUAGAUAUCGGGAAGAACACCAGUGGCGAAGGCGCUCUGCUGGGCCAUUACUGACGCUCAUGGACGAAAGCCAGGGGAGCGAAAGGGAUUAGAUACCCCUGUAGUCCUGGCCGUAAACGAUGAACACUAGGUGUCGGGGGAAUCGACCCCUUCGGUGUCGUAGCUAACGCGUUAAGUGUUCCGCCUGGGGAGUACGCACGCAAGUG